This 1318-nucleotide long non-coding RNA is filed under the name Salmo salar (Atlantic salmon). RNAcentral's name for it is "lncRNA (ENSSSAG00000087699.1)". Lineage: Eukaryota; Metazoa; Chordata; Actinopteri; Salmoniformes; Salmonidae. The record is from RNAcentral.
UGGACAAUUCUAGACAUAGGAUGCAUAUACUGUACAGGGUUGGCUCUCAAAAGGCUUCCUCUCCUUGUCUACUCUCCUCUGUCUCUGCACUAAUAUGAGGGUCGUGUAUGGCGGUAGGCCACUGGGACACUUGUUUUCACUAAUCCAGAACUAUUUCAGAGCAGCGUAAUGAAGGAAAGGUGACAAGGAGACUAUAGGAUUUGAUAGAAUUACACAAUAUAAUACUUUUGAGAAUCAACCAUCAUUAGCCUGGAUGCUUGAAUCGGAAACUCUUAUUUUUAUAAAUGUUUAAUGUUCUUACAGACAUUGAUUAUUGUGAUUGUGGUUUACAUGAAUUGGAAGACUUUAACUGUUAUUGGAAAGGAAUAUUGUACAGUGUUACUUUAGCCCUGUGUUCACUUAUGAACUAAGAGAAAGUAUCUGUUGUGCAACGUUCAUGUUUCUGGCAUUUUAAUGGAUUGAGUGCUUCGAACAGCCUACAUAGAGAUUGUGCUGCUUAAUUCUGGCCCUAAUGGGCCACCAUACCCUAACAUACUAUUGGAUAUUUGUGACAUUUUUAUGAAUUUAUUUUGUAUUGCUAACCAUCUCUCUCCAAUUCUGUUGCCUGCCCACCUUUUUUUCCCCAAAGAACAUCAAAUGCAGGAGAUUACAUGUUAACAAAUAGGAUGCUGAUGUUUUAACACUUGAACAAGACUAUUUGAAACCCUACUCUUUAUGUAUAACUGUUGUUAAAACAAAAAUAUUGGCAUGGAACACAUUGAAAAUGCACUUCCUAGAGGAGACUGUCUGCCCCUAAAAACAUGGGAAAUGCACUUCCUUCAGAAAGUUGGUCAACUGGCUUAGAGCAGAGGUUUAUGGGAAAAUAAGUUUUCAACCGAUAUUCACCUGCACCCAGAGACUUGUGGGAAAUACAGACCUCAGAUGCCAUUUUAAUGAUUGGCUCUCGUCAGCGGCAGUGAUGCUGUCACUGUUACCACGGCAACGGACGGAUGAAUUGAGAAAAAAUGUACUGUAUUCUUGCUCAUUGUGCUGGUAUGAGAGAAAGGGGAGGGGGAACUAAUUGGGCACACAGAGAAGGGCUCUGCAGACAAUGAGAGGAAGAGAGAGAGAGAGAGAGGCAGCGAGAGAGAGAGAGAGAGGCAGCGAGAGAGAAAGAGAGAGAGGCAGCUAGAGAGAGAGAGACUGGCAACCAUAAGGUGUUUGUUUGGUUCACUUGCCCCAGUAUUGCAGUGAGAGACACACAUUCCUUCCAGAAUUAUAUGUUUUUUCAAAUCAGUUUAUUUUAGAAUAAUACAGAAGUACAGUACCAGUCAAAAGU